Molecule: ribosomal RNA, 494 nt
Filed under: uncultured bacterium
Lineage: Bacteria
Description: partial 16S ribosomal RNA
Rfam family: Bacterial small subunit ribosomal RNA
Source: RNAcentral
GACGAACGCUGGCGGCGUGCCUAAUACAUGCAAGUCGAGCGGACUUAAAAAGCUUGCUUUUUAAGUUAGCGGCGGACGGGUGAGUAACACGUGGGCAACCUGCCUGUAAGACUGGGAUAACUUCUGGAAACCGGAGCUAAUACCGGAUAAUCCUUUUCUACUCAUGUAGAAAAGCUGAAAGACGGUUUACGCUGUCACUUACAGAUGGGCCCGCGGCGCAUUAGCUAGUUGGUGAGGUAACGGCUCACCAAGGCGACGAUGCGUAGCCGACCUGAGAGGGUGAUCGGCCACACUGGCACUGAGGCACGGCCCAGACUCCUACGGGAGGCAGCAGUAGGGAAUCUUCCGCAAUGGACGAGAGUCUGACGGAGCAACGCCGCGUGAGUGAUGAAGGUUUUCGGAUCGUAAAACUCUGUUGUUAGGGAAGAACAAGUACGAGAGUAACUGCUCGUACCUUGACGGUACCUAACCAGAAAGCCACGGCUAACUACGUG